UACGGAGGGUGCAAGCGUUAUCCGGAUUCACUGGGUUUAAAGGGUGCGUAGGUGGGAAAGUAAGUCAGUGGUGAAAUCUCCGUGCUUAACACGGAAACUGCCAUUGAUACUAUUUUUCUUUGAAUUUUCUGGAGGUCAGCGGAAUAUGUCAUGUAGCGGUGAAAUGCUUAGAUAUGACAUAGAACACCAAUUGCGAAGGCAGCUGGCUACAGGGAUAUUGACACUGAGGCACGAAAGCGUGGGGAUCAAACAGG
This 254-nucleotide ribosomal RNA is filed under the name uncultured bacterium. Its description in RNAcentral is "partial 16S ribosomal RNA". It matches the Rfam family "Bacterial small subunit ribosomal RNA", at positions 524 to 776 of the family's 1533-position model. The record is from RNAcentral.